RNAcentral lists this ribosomal RNA (498 nucleotides) under uncultured bacterium. Its description in RNAcentral is "partial 16S ribosomal RNA". It matches the Rfam family "Bacterial small subunit ribosomal RNA", at positions 28 to 507 of the family's 1533-position model. The record is from RNAcentral.
GACGAACGCUGGCGGCGUGCCUAAUACAUGCAAGUCGAACGAGAGCGACCGGUGCUUGCACUGGUCAAUGUAGAGGCGAACGGGUGAGUAGAACGUGGGUAACAUGCCCAUCAGAGGGGGAUAACAUACGGAAACGGAUGCUAAAACCGCAUAGGUCCUCGAACGGCGUGGUUGGAAGAGGAAAAGGGGCGCAAGCUUACGCUGAUGGAAGGACCCGCGGGGCAUUGGCGAGUUGGAGAGGUAACGGCUCACCAAGGCCGUGAUGCAGAGCCGACCUGCGAGGGGGUUCGGCCACAUUGGGACUGAGCCACGGCCCUGACUCCUACGGGAGGCACCAGUAGGGAAUCUUGCGCAAUGGGCGCAAGUCUGACGGAGCAGCGCCGCGUGGGUGAAGAAGGUUUUCGGAUCGUAAAACUCUGUUGUGAGUGAAGAAUGAGUUCAAGAGGAACGGUUCGCUCCUUGACGGUAUCUACCCAGAAAGCAACGGCUAACUACGUG